This 103-nucleotide ribosomal RNA is filed under the name uncultured bacterium. Its description in RNAcentral is "partial 16S ribosomal RNA". It matches the Rfam family "Bacterial small subunit ribosomal RNA", at positions 1380 to 1482 of the family's 1533-position model. The record is from RNAcentral.
CUUGUACACACCGCCCGUCACACCAUGGGAGCAGGUUUCACCAGAAGUAGCUAGCCUAACCGCAAGGGGGGCGGUUACCACGGUGAGAUUCGUGACUGGGGUG